RNAcentral lists this ribosomal RNA (451 nucleotides) under uncultured bacterium. RNAcentral's name for it is "bacterial SSU rRNA". It matches the Rfam family "Bacterial small subunit ribosomal RNA", at positions 29 to 526 of the family's 1533-position model. The record is from RNAcentral.
AACGAACGCUGGCGGCAGGCUUAACACAUGCAAGUCGAACGAGCUCUUCGGAGCUAGUGGCGGACGGGUGAGUAACGCGUGGGAACGUGCCCUUCUCUACGGAAUAGUCCCGGGAAACUGGGUUUAAUACCGUAUACGCCCUUCGGGGGAAAGAAUUUCGGAGAAGGAUCGGCCCGCGUUGGAUUAGGUAGUUGGUGGGGUAAUGGCCUACCAAGCCGACGAUCCAUAGCUGGUUUGAGAGGAUGACCAGCCACACUGGGACUGAGACACGGCCCAGACUCCUACGGGAGGCAGCAGUGGGGAAUCUUAGACAAUGGGGGCAACCCUGAUCUAGCCAUGCCGCGUGGACGAUGAAGGCCUUAGGGUUGUAAAGUCCUUUCGCUGGGGAAGAUAAUGACGGUACCCAGUAAAGAAGCCCCGGCUAACUCCGUGCCAGCCGCCGCAGUAAAAC